UACGUAGGUGGCAAGCGUUGUCCGGAUUUACUGGGCGUAAAGGGUGCGUAGGCGGCGCGGAAAGUUGGGUGUGAAAUCCCUCGGCUUAACCGAGGAAUGGCGCUCAAAACUACCGUGCUUGAGGGAGACAGAGGUGAGCGGAACUUAGGGUGGAGCGGUGAAAUGCGUUGAUAUCCUAAGGAACACCGGUGGCGAAAGCGGCUCACUGGGUCUUUUCUGACGCUGAGGCACGAAAGCCAGGGUAGCGAACGGG
Molecule: ribosomal RNA, 253 nt
Filed under: uncultured bacterium
Lineage: Bacteria
Description: partial 16S ribosomal RNA
Rfam family: Bacterial small subunit ribosomal RNA
Source: RNAcentral